CGGGGAUCGAACUCAAAACUUCUAAGACUUUAAAAAAUGAUUGAAAUUUUCAUUAAAUUUUAGUACCUAAGAAUUGGAGAAUUUUGUUUUUUCCCCAGUGUUUGGAGAGUGUACCUUUCAUUCUCUGAGCCCCAGUGUUCUUUUCUUGGUACCGGGGAUCAAACUCAGAACCUUGCACUUGCAAGGCAGGUGCGCCAUCACUGAGCUAAAUCCCUGGCUUUAAACCAUUUUUGAAGGAUAAAAUAUGAAUUAUGGAUCAUACAAGGAAGAGAGAGAAGGCUAGAGAACAGUUACAAAAGAAACAUAAAGAAACGACAUCACUUCACAGAAGAGGACAUUAAGAAACCUUGAACCACCUCCGCAUCACCUGGUCGUUUUGUAAGAUUACAUCUCUCACAGCAGAAAUGACAAAAUCAAUGAGAGUAUAU
This 428-nucleotide long non-coding RNA is filed under the name Heterocephalus glaber (naked mole-rat). RNAcentral's name for it is "lncRNA (ENSHGLG00000038598.1)". Lineage: Eukaryota; Metazoa; Chordata; Mammalia; Rodentia; Bathyergidae. The record is from RNAcentral.